This 433-nucleotide ribosomal RNA is filed under the name uncultured bacterium. RNAcentral's name for it is "partial 16S ribosomal RNA". It matches the Rfam family "Bacterial small subunit ribosomal RNA", at positions 29 to 507 of the family's 1533-position model. The record is from RNAcentral.
AACGAACGCUGGCGGCAUGCCUAACACAUGCAAGUCGAACGAGACCUUCGGGUCUAGUGGCGCACGGGUGCGUAACGCGUGGGAACCUGCCCUUAGGUUCGGAAUAACUCCCCGAAAGGGGUGCUAAUACCGGAUAAUGUCUUCGGACCAAAGAUUUAUCGCCUUUGGAUGGGCCCGCGUUGGAUUAGCUAGUUGGUAGGGUAAAAGCCUACCAAGGCGACGAUCCAUAGCUGGUCUGAGAGGAUGAUCAGCCACACUGGGACUGGGACACGGCCCAGACUCCUACGGGAGGCAGCAGCGGGGAAUAUUGGACAAUGGGCGAAAGCCUGAUCCAGCAAUGCCGCGUGAGUGAUGAAGGCCUUAGGGUUGUAAAGCUCUUUUACCCGGGAUGAUAAUGACAGUACCGGGAGAAUAAGCUCCGGCUAACUCCGUG